GCUUGAACCACUUCUCCCAUGAAAGGGCGAUGCGAUACUUCUGGUUGUACACACAUUGAUGCUAUUGCUGCAACUUUACUGAUACUAUCAAUUGGGAUAUCAGACUCCAUAGCUUUAUCUAUUAUUAUUUCUAAACCUUCCUUGGUUGUCAGGAGGGGACGAGCCCAGGCUACAAGAUUUUCUUGACCUUGAGGUUGUGAUAAAUCCACAGGUUUUCGUCCGCUCAAGAGCUCAAGGAGAACUACACCAUAGCUAUAAACAUCA
Molecule: unclassified non-coding RNA, 264 nt
Filed under: Hevea brasiliensis (rubber tree)
Lineage: Eukaryota; Viridiplantae; Streptophyta; Magnoliopsida; Malpighiales; Euphorbiaceae
Source: RNAcentral